ACAGAUUUAGGAGCAUAGUAUCUAAAUAAACAUUUAACAUUUAUUUAAAUUAAAUAAGCAUUAUCAUUAUGCAUUGUCACUCUAUUGUGCAAUGCAACAACAGAACUUUCAUCCCCAAUGUGUAGUGUAGGAUUUUACUAUCACUUGUACCAUUUACAUUUCCGUAUCCUCUCUUACCAUAGUCUCUUCAGAUUCUGGUAACUAUCCAAACACCCCGACUUCUGAGAUCAGCUUUAUUAUAUUUCACAUAUGAGUAGAAUUUUGUGACUUAUUUUUCUGUUCCUACCAUGCUACCUAGAUCCUCCUAGUAACAGGUGUGUUUCCUAAUAGGGCUUCAGACUCUGACAGCUCCCACGUACCUCCCCAUGAUGGCCCCUGGAGUAUGCUGGGAAAACUGGGAAGCACUUGCUGCAACUCUGAUGGAAGUCUCAUUCAAGAGGAAGCUCAUUCAUCACAGGAGGACACAGGUGACUGCAACCUGCUUUCUUCAUUUCCUGCUGAGUUGGGGACAGUCCCUGCAAGAUGAGCAAAAAGAAGAGGGUAAGCCAUCUUGACUAAGAUACCUCAGCUGCAGUGAAGAACCCAACACUUCAUUGUCCAAGCACUUAAGCCCAAGUACUUGAGUCCCCAGUGUAGACCACUCCACUCACAUAGUAAGUGACAUAUCAAAUAGUCCUUGCCCCCAACUCAUCUGUAUCCCCAGCACUGAUCCCUAAACUCUCAGGAAAGGAUUCCCUCUUGUUGACUAAGUCACUCCCAUCAGUGACAAAUAUUUGUCAAAAUGAGAAAUAAAUUGACAAAUUUUCUCAUCA
This is a non-coding RNA of Oryctolagus cuniculus (rabbit), 812 nucleotides long. Lineage: Eukaryota; Metazoa; Chordata; Mammalia; Lagomorpha; Leporidae. The record is from RefSeq and is a predicted model, not a curated record.